GACGUAGGAGGCGAGCGUUGUCCGGAAUCAUUGGGCGUAAAGCGCGCGUAGGCGGCCUCAUAAGUCCGUUGUGAAAGUCAAAGGCUCAACCUUUGAAAGCCGAUGGAUACUGUGAGGCUAGAGUCCGGAAGAGGCGAGUGGAAUUCCUGGUGUAGCGGUGGAAUGCGCAGAUAUCAGGAGGAACACCAAUAGCGAAGGCAGCUCGCUGGGACGGUACUGACGCUAAGGCGCGAAAGCGUGGGGAGCGAACAGG
Molecule: ribosomal RNA, 253 nt
Filed under: uncultured bacterium
Lineage: Bacteria
Description: partial 16S ribosomal RNA
Rfam family: Bacterial small subunit ribosomal RNA
Source: RNAcentral